Non-coding RNA from Chrysemys picta bellii (western painted turtle), 2276 nucleotides. The record is from RefSeq and is a predicted model, not a curated record. Lineage: Eukaryota; Metazoa; Chordata; Testudines; Emydidae.
UUAGUUUCUAAGGUGCCACAAGUACUCCUGUUCUUCUUUUUGCGGAUACAGACUAACACGGCUGCUACUCUGAAACCUGUCUUUGUUUCAAGUUACCAGGUGUGGUGAGAGUUGCGAUGCGGUUGCCCGCCAUUGCUACACGUGGCCAGCAGGGGGAGACCACCCCCUAGCUCCAGUGCUCGGAGAGUUGGUUCAACUUGUCUCCUGGCUACUGGGGCUUCAGUGAAACCAGAAGCUCAUGACACAACGGACAGGACCUCGGGCUGCAUCAGACUGGGGAGGGCUAGCACCGAGGAGCUCAGGCCACGCUUCUCUGCCAAAGGAGCUCCAGCAUUUGCCCCUGGCAUGUAACAAAGGGAUCCCAGCGCUUCAAACUGUGCCAGUCCAAACCCACCUGUAUGGGGCUCCAGCUUGGACGUAGCUGAAAGCCAUGGUGAGGACUAACUUCCAGGCCAUGGCAAAGGCUAGCGUCCUGAGCCAGCCCACCCCCAGGACGAGGGUUUGGGAGAUCCUUAACAAAACACAGGGAGAGACAUUACCAAGAGGGACCAGGAGGACACAGAGGAUCACCUGUCGGCCCAUCCCACUUGAGGAUCCUGGCAGGCCGUGGUCUAAUAUGGCUUCUAAGUUUGCUUUGACAGUAAAAUGCAUCAGCACGGGACAGGACGCCAAAGCCACAAUGUUGCCGCUACCUGGACAUGGCAUAAAUUCAACAAGAUACAGUUUUGCACGUAUAGAUUACAAGACACACAUGAAAUUAUCCCCCGUACUGGCUUGUUAUUUACCCCUCAACUAUUUGUGAAUGGAUCAGGCAUGCUUUGUUCCUUAUCAUUUUUAAUUGUUUUUUUUUAAUUGAAAAUAAAUGGAUAUUGUUGAGCCUACUGACUUGGGCAAUAAAGGUUGUUUUUUUAAUAGGUCUUGCUCUGUCCUCUUGGGUAAAAUAAAUCCACUCACGCAUUUUAAAAAUAACUCUGCAGCCUGGGUGUAUCCUGCCCAAUGGCUGAGGUGUAACAAAGUGUAUGGAGUCUGCGCUAACCAUGCUGCUAUUUACAUAGUGGUUAUCUGUCAUGCAUUGUCACCAAGGUUGGCUGUUCGUAGCUAGCUAUAUAGAUAUGUAACUACAUAUACAAGAAGGGAUUUUGGAUGAGGCUCAGAUGGCUUGAGUAUGUUGGGGUGGGGGAGCUUUUUCCCUUUAAAAAAAAAAAAGUAUUAAGUCACGGUUCCCACCGUCUCCUCCUCCCCCUCUUUUAAACAGUCCAAGUUAAAAAUGUGCCAAAUUCAAUAGCGCAGGACUCGAUUUGGGGGGAGGGUGGGGUGCAUUGUCCAUUGCAGAGGAGUUGACGCCUGAUAGAGGCCAGUGGAAAAGGGAGCAAAAUGGGAGGGAGAGAGGGUUGGUAGUGUCCCGUCCCCCCCGGUGCCCCACCCACCAGUUGUGCCCUACACCAGUCCUAAGCCGGGUAUGUUGAACGCGCAUUCUGCUCACCCAGUUAUUCUUUCCUGCUCCCCCCAGUCCCAUAUAUGAUUGUUUUUUAACACUCUUAGUAUUCUCUGUAAUAAUAAACUGAACACUAGGCCAGGCGGUGGUGGGCCACGGCAUUAGAGGCUGAUUUAAGGACCCCAACAAUAGAAGUAAGUAGGAUGGGGCAACAGGCCAAGGCCUGGUGUGAAAGCAGAGCCCGUUGGGUUUAUUCGUCUGCUUGUGUCACAAUCACAAAGCUCUGGUGUGUUUGUCACCUUGGUUCAGAAAACUCCCAUUAACCUUUCACUUUCUUGGACCAGCUUUGCUUAUGGACUGGAGGAGGUGGUAGAUCUGUGUCUAGCGCAGGCAGACGCCCCCACGUCUCAGAAAAGGGCACACUCCUUAGAUCAUGCUUGUAACCUGCUGAGGGCUGCUUUGCUCUUUCCCGUCCCUCAAAGGUAGCAGGAGCUCUGAGGCAGCCGGGUGCAGGGCUUAGACACUCUGCUGUGGGGAAUCGCUGCCUCUGCUCCUUAGACCUCCUAGCCUUCGCCGUUGUGCAGCAAGGAUGUACGAUCAGCAAUGAGGCUGGCUUGUGUUUAAAGCUCCUGUACGGAGGGCUCCCUCCUACAACGGUCCCCAAGCACCCUCAGCAGCCUCCUGGCUCUUAGAACUGGGACCAAACUUACUCUUCCCUAGUUACAGGUAGUAGGACUGCCCCACUGCCAGGCUCAUGGGUGCACGGAGCUCUCCUGCUGAUUAAAUAUUGAAGCUCCAGCAGGACUUAAAAGGUAAGGGGUUGGGUGUGUGUGUGGAGUGU